UGCGCAGGCGGAAUGAUUAGUCAGUGGUGAAAGCCCUCGGCUCAACCGAGGAACUGCCAUUGAUACUGUCAUUCUUGAGUACAGUUGUAGUGGGCGGAAUGUGUCAUGUAGCGGUGAAAUGCAUAGAGAUGACACAGAACACCGAUCGCGAAGGCAGCUCACUAAGCUGAAACUGACGCUCAGGCACGAAAGCGUGGGUAGCUAACAGGAUUAGAUACCCUGGUAGUCC
RNAcentral lists this ribosomal RNA (229 nucleotides) under uncultured bacterium. RNAcentral describes it as "partial 16S ribosomal RNA". It matches the Rfam family "Bacterial small subunit ribosomal RNA", at positions 568 to 796 of the family's 1533-position model. The record is from RNAcentral.